This 876-nucleotide ribosomal RNA is filed under the name uncultured archaeon. Its description in RNAcentral is "bacterial SSU rRNA". It matches the Rfam family "Archaeal small subunit ribosomal RNA", at positions 21 to 903 of the family's 1478-position model. The record is from RNAcentral.
GGUCACUGCUAUUGGGAUUCGACUAAGCCAUGCGAGUCGAGAGGGUUCGGCCCUCGGCUGACGGCUCAGUAACACGUGGAUAAUCUGCCUUUAGGUGGAGGAUACCCUCGGGAAACUGAGAAUAAUACUCCAUAGGUCUAGAAGGCUGGAAUGCAUCUAGACUGAAAGCUCCGGCGCCUAAGGAUGAGUCUGCGGACUAUCAGGCUGUAGUCAGGGUAAAGACCUGACUAGCCUAUGACGGAUACGGGUUGUGGGAGCAAUAACCCGGAGACGAUAUCUGAGACACGAUAUCGGGCCCUACGGGGCGCAGCAGGCGCGAAAACUUCACAAUGUGCGAAGGCACGAUGAGGGAAUCCCAAGUGCCAGCUCGUAAGAGUUGGCUGUUUCUCUGUCUAAAAAACAGAGAGAGUAAGAGCUGGGUAAGACGGGUGCCAGCCGCCGCGGUAAUACCUGCAGCUCAAGUGGUGGCCGCUAUUAUUGGGCCUAAAACGUCCGUAGCCGGUUUAGUAAAUGCCUGGGUAAAUCGUAUAGCUUAACUAUACGAAUUCCGGGUAGACUGCUAGACUUGAGACCGGGAGAAGCUAGAGGUACUCCUGGGGUAGAGGUGAAAUUCUGUAAUCCUAGGGGGACCACCAGUGGCGAAGGCGUCUAGCUAGAACGGGUCUGACGGUGAGGGACGAAGCCCUGGGGCGCAAACCGGAUUAGAUACCCGGGUAGUCCAGGGUGUAAACGCUGCUCGCUUGAUGUUAGUUGAGCUCCGAGCUCAAUUAGUGUCGGAGAGAAGUUGUUAAGCGAGCUGCCUGGGGAGUACGGUCGCAAGACUGAAACUUAAAGGAAUUGGCGGGGGAGCACAGCAACGGGUGGAGCGUGCGGUUU